This is a long non-coding RNA of Oncorhynchus tshawytscha (Chinook salmon), 1691 nucleotides long. Lineage: Eukaryota; Metazoa; Chordata; Actinopteri; Salmoniformes; Salmonidae. The record is from Ensembl.
GUAUGAAGUUACAUUGGUGUAAGGGAUUUCCUCCUCUUCUUCCGAAGAGGAGAGGCGAAAAGGAUCAGAGGACCAAUAUGCAGCGUGGUUCCAGUGUCUGUGAAGGGAGGGUGCAGGUCCGUCCUUGGGAAGAAGGAGACAGUAACAAAAAUUCAAUUUUCAGAAAUCCCACAGUUGUACUGCGAGACGGCAUUUCGAAGCUCAUGAGGAUUUGGACUUAAGACGAUUUAGAGGUGAUUUAUGCAGUAAACCAAAUGGCUAUGCUGGGAGGAGAGGAGAUAAAAACGAGAGCGAGUCCCCGUCAGCCUUAAAGAGGAACUGCCUCUAAAAGCUACUAAUCCCUUUGACAUGAUCAUUUGAUAAUAGCUAGCUAGCUAACGUUAGACUACAAGUUGGAUUUGCAAAUUAGUUCAUAGCUCAUGCAAGUAUUUUCUGUAUUGUCUAGGGCAAAACUAAAUAAUGGAUUCAACUAUGACAUUAGCUAACUCAUGUCUGACGCUGAAUAAUACAGUGAACUAGGAGCAACAAAUCGUAAUCUGGAGCUACAGUCAGUCUGUACAGAGAAUUAGGGUUUCCAAUAGUUACCACAUCGGCAAAUAAAAAAUUGGCUAUAUUGUAAAGAUUGAUGAAAACAAAAAUCUGCUUUUUGGUAUGAAUUUAAGGUUAGGGUUAGGCAUGAGGUUAGUAAUGUUGUUAAGGUUAAGGUUAGGUUUAAAAUAACGUUUUAAGAAGAGAAAUUGUAGAAAUAGGUGGGCUUUAUGACUGUGGCUGUGGUAAUUACUGACGACAUAGAUUUAGCUUGACCCGAGUUACUGCACUAAUUACACAGACAGGUUCAUCAACGGUAAUGUGUGUUAUGUGAAAAGUUGUAUUAAAAAAUACCCAGUUUGAUAAACUAGUAGGUUAAUUACCCAGCCACGCAAUUACAAGUAGUAGAGUCAUUUUGGUUGUGAAGUGCAUUAUGAAAAAGCUUCUUUAUAACAAAAUGCAAUUUACCACCCCGCUGUCUAUUGUAUCACCCUGUCACAGGCCCUGCCAGUCAACACCACCUCAUAAGAGGAGGAAGUACAUUGUUUAUGAGGUUUGCCUGCUGCAGUUGUUCGAGAGAUGUCCAGUUUGCAGCCGAACAUCCAACAUAGAGAAGACCAGCAAGGGGACCCUUAGCAUCACGAAGACAUGCCCUCACUGUGAGCAUUCCUAUAAAAGGGACAUCGAUGGGGAGACCAGAAUUAGAAACAUUUAUGGAGCCAGCACAUGGAGACUUGCAAGAUGAUGAAGUCCAAACUGACAGACAGGCUUGAUGGAGAGAGACCCGGCACUCUGCAUUUGUCGCGCUCUGACCAUAGAGAGCCUUUUUUAUUCUGUAUUUUGGUUUGGUCGGGGUGUAACUAGGGGGAUUGUUCCUAUCUAGGUGUUUUGUUUUCUAUCUUGGCCAGGUAUGGUUCCCAAUCAGAGGCAGCUGUUUAUCAUUGUCUCUGAUCGGGGAUCAUAUUUAGGCAGCCAUUUCCCCACUGGUUUUUGUGGGAUCUUGUUUUUGUGUAGUGCCUGUGAGCUCUACAUUUGCUUCACGUUUCGUUACUCUUUAUUGUUUUUGUGAGUUUCAUUGAAUAAACAUGUGGAACUCUACACACGCUGCACCUUGGUCCAUUUAUUCCAACGAUGGUGACAGCAUUAACAUUUUACUAGACAAC